CAGGACUGUGAGGGAAGCUUUCCUCUUCUUCACAGUUGGUUGCAUUCUGUUGUGUUUGAAGAAGACAUUUGAUCAGCCUGUGCUGCCUACCAGAUCUCGUGUGGCCCAAAGGUGAUGGUGUCAUCCUGACAUGCUCUUCUUGUGACCCGGGAGUCCCUAAAUCCCAAACCGCAUAGCUUUGGAAAACCCUGGAAAUACCUGGAAUUCUAGGAGUAUAUCACCAAAACCUCUUAAGGUGCCCAGGCACUGGAUCAUUAGCUUUACAUUCUCCUUUAUUAUUAUUUUCUGUUUACAAAGAAAGAGACGAAAGUCUGAACAUUAGCAAUAGCCUUUAGCCAUCCACCAUUGCUUCGACGGACCUGCUGUGACCGAGAGGGCGUGACCUUUCUGCCUGCUGACUUCAAACAGACACUUGAAAAGGAAACGCUGUCAGAGAGGCUUCCGCGUGGUGGCAACUCAGACCAAAAACCCC
Molecule: long non-coding RNA, 472 nt
Organism: Sander lucioperca (pikeperch)
Lineage: Eukaryota; Metazoa; Chordata; Actinopteri; Perciformes; Percidae
Exons: 3
Source: RefSeq, a predicted model, not a curated record